Molecule: ribosomal RNA, 253 nt
Filed under: uncultured bacterium
Lineage: Bacteria
Description: partial 16S ribosomal RNA
Rfam family: Bacterial small subunit ribosomal RNA
Source: RNAcentral
UACCGAGGUCUCAAGCGUUGUUCGGAAUCACUGGGCGUAAAGCGUGCGUAGGCUGUUUCGUAAGUCGUGUGUGAAAGGCGCGGGCUCAACCCGCGGACGGCACAUGAUACUGCGAGACUAGAGUAAUGGAGGGGGAACCGGAAUUCUCGGUGUAGCAGUGAAAUGCGUAGAUAUCGAGAGGAACACUCGUGGCGAAGGCGGGUUCCUGGACAUUAACUGACGCUGAGGCACGAAGGCCAGGGGAGCGAAAGGG